Molecule: non-coding RNA, 2315 nt
Organism: Osmia lignaria (orchard mason bee)
Lineage: Eukaryota; Metazoa; Arthropoda; Insecta; Hymenoptera; Megachilidae
Source: RefSeq, a predicted model, not a curated record
CAGCGAUGUCUUCCCCAAUGUCCAUAUACUGGAAAGGCAACAUAAAACAUGAUUAUCCGUUCUAAUUAUUUCAACGAAAUUUCAUAUUUGUAACCGCACCGAUAAACAACCGCCGUUUUGCACGUUGAAACAGACCAUGCCGCGGAAUGGCGAGAUAAAUCUCGUUAAAUCAUGCAUGAUUAAUAUCUUAAUAAUUAACCUUCUUCUGUACGCCAUAUUCUGUAAUUUUGACAUCUGGCUACUACGUGUGCGUAACUGCCGUGUAUUUUUCUUUCAUUGUUACCACGUUUUAUAUGUACGAAAGAACGUGCCUUCACGGUUUACAUUUAUAUAAUGUAAAUAUGUACGCAACCCGUAAAUCAAAUUUACUGCUAUGCUCUUAACUUUUAUUUAACAUUCGUAAUUUAAAACGCGUGUGUUAUGGUUUUCUUGAUAAGGGACAAUGGUACUCUCCGUUACGGUUCGUUUAAAUUUCUUCGCUUUUCGCGCCAAUUCCGUGCGCGUGAUAAUCCUACACGACUAAAGCAAUUUACAAACAGUUCAAAAUCUUCUUUGAGAAAUAAAUGAUUCCCCCAGAGCAUCUUAUCUGUCUGUAUAUUCGGAACCAGUAUUCACUGGUUAUAUCUACAAUUUAACCGAAUGAAAAGCUGGUUAUGUUCUGUCUGAUCCGCCGGGUCAAAAUGUCACGUGGUCAAACAAAUUUCUCACUAAAUCCGGUAAUUUUUCUGGCAGAUGUAAUUCACGCCGUUAUAACAGGAACAAUAUUUAAACAUUUGCGAUUAAUUAAGUGGGUGACUGUUACGUAGAACACACAGAAAGAGUAAUGUGACCUUCGAAGUCAAUCGGCUUUUAAACAAUCGGUGAAAAGUCACUAGGUGCAGCCUGAUAAUUACGAAACCAAAAGCGUAAGUACGAGGAAAAAAUGUUUAGUAAGCUUUUUUAUAGACACGUUAAUGUGUUAUAAUGGAUGGACGAGGCCAGGUAAGUAAACAAUGUCACGAUAAUUCAAUAGUAAAUUAACGUCAGUAAAAAUUAGUUAAUCGUCGAUUGAACAUUAUAUUUGUCUAUACUUAUUUAAAGGUAGACGCCAGACAAUAUACUUAACACGCGUGCGAUAUAAUAAAUGUUUAGUUCCAAAUUUGAACACAUUAAAGUACUAUGGAAAUUGUAAGUGAAACAACUAUCUCAAUGGGAAUGUCGAAUAAAGUUGCUCGCCUUGAUACAAAAAAUACUGGAACGGUAAUGAAAAAAAAAUGUCACUUUUGAAUUUUUUCCGCGUACAAAGAAAUAUCGGGCAUAAAAAACAGGAAAAGUUCAAAGAAGCCUUGACGUUGGUAGGUUUCAUUGAAUUAGUUUUUGAACUUGUACAUCUUCGAUUGAUUACACAAGCAUUUUUUAUCGAUUCCUUUUGGGUUAAAAAACAGCUUAUACAAGCAAAAAAACUAAUUCGAAUGCACAUAGAGGUAUAACAGAAAUUACGGUUAUUUCCAACACAACCUGAUAGUAAAAGCGAGGAUGCCUGUGGUCACGAGACUCAACCGAUUAUUUUGAUCCUGGCUGACAAGGCGGACCAGAAACUCAGCAACCAGACUGAAGCCGGCUGUAUUCGAUUCAAAUUGUCGCGCGCUUUAUCAUAACUACACGUCACUCUUUAACUAAUAAAAAAAUAGAAAAGAAUGUCGAACAAUUGUUUGCAAAAAGGUUGAAUAACAAGUGCAUUUUUUUAAUUUCAUCCAAGUUCUUUCCAGAACAUUUGAAAUUCCCGCCAUUUUAAAAUAACAAGGCACUUAUGAUACCGCAAUUUUUUAAAUCUGUUCAAACUUAUGUAAGACGUAACAAAGCAUGCUUUAUCAUUCAUAAAAAACAAAUUGAAAUAAUGACGGUUGAAAUUUACGAGGAAAUCGAUAUCAGAACUCAAGUGUCAGAUAACAAUCGUCCGGUUACUGGUUACAAUAACUAUACGCAUAUUGUGCCUGUUAAUGACGCACAUAAAACUCACUUCACAAUUUUAUUAAAUAACUAUUUUAUUUAAGGAAAAAAAAAAAACAGAAAAUGAAUAAAAAAUUCCAACAAAAAAUAUCUUUUUUUAUAUUAGAAAUCUCGGAUUUCUAAAUAAUAUUCUACACAGUAAAGAUUUCUCUCUUUUUUAUGUUUAUGAAUAUGUAAACGUACGAUAUUUCUGUUUAUGAAUCUCAGGAGCGUCAAAAUUUUCCAACGUAUGAACUGAUAAGUAUUAGAUAUAUGAACUGUCAUUUCGCGACUUGCUACGAGUUUUUAAAAUUAAGUUCCAAUAAAUAUUGUAUAAUAAUCAAUAA